CAGAAGCUGAGAAUAACCCCAAUAGUCUCUAAGCAAAUCAGGGGAGCUCUGAAACGGCGCCCCCUGCAUCACCGUCGGAGAAUAACCAGUUACUGCUGGAACAUCAACGGAGCCCGAGAGUGAGGUGGCCGGAAAAUCGGGAAGGUGAGGAGGUCGAACCGCAGUAACGUUUUCGGGGAAGUUGAGUUUGGCUCUGUUACCUCUAAACCUCAAUGCGGCCUCAUCGUAGGCUCUGGCAGCAGCCUCGGCGGUGUCGAAGGUGCCAAGCCACACUCUCGCCGCUUUGUGAGGAUCGCGAAUCUCCGCCGCCCAUUUCCCCCACGGCCUCUGCCUCACCCCUCUGUAUCUCCUCCUCCUCUCGCCGCUUUCUUCCUGUGACGCAGUCUGUGACGAACCACCCUCACCCCCACUCGCCGCAGAAGUAGUGUCAUCUUCACGCGCUCUUUUCUGCCCAACCGAGCCCGAGCCCAAAAGAGGAGGCCCGGGAGAAGAAGACAAACCUGGAGAAGGCGCAUGCAUAAAACGUGGCGCCAUGGGAAAACCACUUGCCGGGACCCACUCCGUGUUGGUUUGGGCAGAGGAAGAGGGUGACAGCACAUGGGUCGGAACCGAACCUACAGUACCCCCUUGCACUUGCACAUCCCUUGGGGUGAAAGGGUCUUCCGGGUCUUCUUGGCCCGAAGCGGAACCUGAAGCUGAAGGUCUCUGGU
RNAcentral lists this long non-coding RNA (710 nucleotides) under Vigna radiata. RNAcentral describes it as "long non-coding RNA (VRAD_LNC009249)". Lineage: Eukaryota; Viridiplantae; Streptophyta; Magnoliopsida; Fabales; Fabaceae. The record is from RNAcentral.